GAGCCUCUCUGAGCCUUAUUUUCCUUUCCUGUAAAAUGAAGCUGGUUACAAUACCUUCUUCCUAAGGGUGUUAUGAGGCAUCAGUGAGACGUGGCAUGUAGAAGCAUGAACUUGGAGUUUACCAGCAAACCUGGAGUGUCCCCAGGAGGGUACCAUCAGAUCGCUGGAGGACCCUGAACUCCUGCCAUGAGUUCAUGGUGACAGACCAUUGGCUGAGCCCAGAGACAAGACCCUCACACUUUCAGUGCUGGAGAUUGGAAUUCUGUGACUGGGGUGCCAGCAUGGUCAGUUUCCGAUGGGGACCCUUUUCCUGGCUUGCAGACGACCACCUCCUGCUGCGUCCUCAUGUGAUGGAGAGAGGGUGCCUCUUCCUAGAAGGGCUGGUCUUACCAGAUCAGAGGAUGCCCUGUCCAGCUUCUUGGCUCUGAGUCUGCCCUCACCCAGAUCUAGCUCCAUUGGCCUUCUCACAUCUGCUGGGAUAGAAAAGGGUACAGCACCUAUGGUCUGAAAACAGUCACAGAAACCCGUUCAAAAGCCAUCGUGGCCAUGUAGGAGAUGGCCACCCCUCGCUGGGUCCUCACCUGACUUUUGCACGUGCACACAGGUAGGAGGUGGGGGAAGGAGAGAGAGAGACAGAGACAGAGAGACUCAGAGACGGGGGUGGGGUGAACAGCACUUCCGUCAGGCGUGUCUUCUCAUAAGGAUGCUUGUCUCAUUGGAUCAGCGACCCACUCUUGCCUCACUUCACCUUAAUGGCUUCCUUAUGGGCCCCAUCUCCAAAUCUCCAAAUCGGCCAAAUCACAGGGGGUUUGGGGUCAACAUAUGAUUGGGGUCCCUGAUGCUGGGAUUCAUAGCUGGUGUUUCAGAACCAGAAGCAGACAGGACUAGAUGUUAGGAAGUAAAGACUCUACCUGACCGAUGGGGAGGUGACCCGGCCAUGAGAGGUGCAGCCAGUCGUGUCCACCUCAUCCUGUCUCAAGGAGCAAUGCUCGUGGAGACAUCAGGACAGCUCUUGUCUGUCUGGUGAGUGUCUGCCUGAAUCUGGUGCACAGAGUCAAGGCAGCUGUCCAAUGUCACCCAAGUAUAAGUGGGCAAUUCCUCAGGGCUAGAUGUAUUUUGGAAUUAGAUGUUCUUUUCAAAAUUUAAAAAAAAAAGAAAAAAAGCACUGGUAA
Long non-coding RNA from Bubalus bubalis (water buffalo), 1172 nucleotides. RefSeq lists it as uncharacterized. NCBI's taxonomy places the organism in Eukaryota, Metazoa, Chordata, Mammalia, Artiodactyla, Bovidae. The record is from RefSeq and is a predicted model, not a curated record. The transcript is spliced from 4 exons.